UGGGGAAUUUUGGACAAUGGGCGAAAGCCUGAUCCAGCAAUGCCGCGUGUGUGAAGAAGGCCUUCGGGUUGUAAAGCCCUUUUGUCCGGAAAGAAAUACUCUGGGUUAAUACCUCGGGGGGAUGACGGUACCGGAAGAAUAAGCACCGGCUAAAUACGUGCCAGCAGCCGCGGUAAUACGGAGGGUGCAAGCGUUAAUCGGAAUUACUGGGCGUAAUGCUUCCGCAGGCGGUUUUGUAAGACGGAUGUGAACUCCCCGUGCUUAACCUGGGGACUGCACUCGUGACUGCGAGGCUAGAGGAUGUCAGGGGGGGGUAGAAUUCCACGUGUAGCAGUGAAAUGCGUAGAUAUGUGGAGGAAUACCGAUGGCGAAGGCAGCCACAUGUGCCAAUACUGAC
This 397-nucleotide ribosomal RNA is filed under the name uncultured bacterium. Its description in RNAcentral is "bacterial SSU rRNA". It matches the Rfam family "Bacterial small subunit ribosomal RNA", at positions 355 to 744 of the family's 1533-position model. The record is from RNAcentral.